UACGCACGCUGGCGGCGUGCUUAACACAUGCAAGUCGAACGGAAAGGCCCUGCUUUUGUGGGGUGCUCGAGUGGCGAACGGGUGAGUAACACGUGAGUAACCUGCCCUUGACUUUGGGAUAACUUCAGGAAACUGGGGCUAAUACCGGAUAGGAGCUCCUGCUGCAUGGUGGGGGUUGGAAAGUUUCGGCGGUUGGGGAUGGACUCGCGGCUUAUCAGCUUGUUGGUGGGGUAGUGGCUUACCAAGGCUUUGACGGGUAGCCGGCCUGAGAGGGUGACCGGCCACAUUGGGACUGAGAUACGGCCCAGCCUCCUACGGGAGGCAGCAGUGGGGAAUAUUGCACAAUGGGCGGAAGCCUGAUGCAGCAACGCCGCGUGCGGGAUGACGGCCUUCGGUUUGUAAACCGCUUUCGCCUGUGACGAAGCGUGAGUGACGGUAAUGGGUAAAGAAGCGCCGGCUAACUACGUG
This 468-nucleotide ribosomal RNA is filed under the name uncultured bacterium. RNAcentral describes it as "partial 16S ribosomal RNA". It matches the Rfam family "Bacterial small subunit ribosomal RNA", at positions 29 to 507 of the family's 1533-position model. The record is from RNAcentral.